This 459-nucleotide ribosomal RNA is filed under the name uncultured bacterium. Its description in RNAcentral is "partial 16S ribosomal RNA". It matches the Rfam family "Bacterial small subunit ribosomal RNA", at positions 338 to 795 of the family's 1533-position model. The record is from RNAcentral.
CCUACGGGAGGCAGCAGUGAGGAAUAUUGGUCAAUGGCCGGAAGGCUGAACCAGCCAAGCCGCGUGAAGGACGAAGGUGCCAAGCAUUGUAAACUUCUUUUGUCAAGGGACAAAAUCAGCCUCGAGAGCCUGUCCGAGGGUACUUGAAGAAAAAGCAUCGGCUAACUCCGUGCCGGCCGCCGGGGUAAUAGGGGGGAUGGCAGCGUUAUCCGGGUUUUUUGGGUUUAAAGGGUGCGUAGGCGGGCUGUUAAGUCAGCGGUAAAAGCCCGGGGCUCAACCCCGGCGAGCCGUUGAAACUGGCUGUCUUGAGAUGUCGAGAGGUAUGCGGAAUGCGCAGUGUAGCGGUGAAAUGCUUAGAUAUUGCGCAGAACUCCGAUUGCGAAGGCAGCAUACCGGCGGCGAUCUGACGCUGAGGCACGAAAGCGUGGGUAUCGAACAGGAUUAGAUACCCGGGUAGUC